Molecule: ribosomal RNA, 253 nt
Filed under: uncultured bacterium
Lineage: Bacteria
Description: partial 16S ribosomal RNA
Rfam family: Bacterial small subunit ribosomal RNA
Source: RNAcentral
GACAGAGGUGCCGAGCGUUAGGCGGAAUCACUGGGCUUAAAGCGUGUGUAGGCGGAUCCGUAAGUACCUUGUGAAAUCCCACGGCUCAACCGUGGAACUGCUCGGUAUACUGCGGGUCUUGAGCCACUUAGGGGCAACCGGAACAAACGGUGGAGCGGUGAAAUGCGUAGAUAUCGUUUGGAACGCCGAUGGUGAAAACAGGUUGCUGGGAGUGCGCUGACGCUGAGACACGAAAGCCAGGGGAGCGAACGGG